AAGAAAAGUCGCUUUCAUCUAGGGAUUCGUGGCUAAUUGAUGUAAAAAAAGUAAUUAUUCUCAUAGAUUAUGCAUGUAUGAACACAUUCAGCCCAAGUGGGAGGUUUAAAAAAACUUCACCAAAGUACAGGAGCAUGUCUUUAAGUAAAUAUAUUCCUUUGGAGAGUUCUACACGUUUUAUGGAGAUGGAGACCUUCCACUAUAUACACUACAUGACCAAAAGUUGUGGACACCUGCUUGUUGAACUCUCAUUCCGAAUCAUGGGGUUUAAUAUGGGUUGGUCCCCCCUUUUGCUGUUAUAACAGCCUCCACUCUUCUGGGAAGGCUUUCCACUAGAUGUUGGAACAUUUCUGCGAGUACUUGUUUCCAUUCAGCACACAAGCAUUAGUUUGGUCGGGCACUGAGUUGGGCGAUAAGACCUGGCUCGCAGUCAGCGUUCCAAUAUAUCCCAAAGGUGUUCAAUGGGGUUGAGGUCAGGGCUCUGUGCAGGCCAGUCAAGUUCUUCCACACCGAUCUCRACAAACCAUUCCUGUAUAUACCUCGCUUUGUGCACAGGGGCAUUGUCAUGCUGAAAAAACAUGUUACAUUUCUUAUGCAGUUCCUAACUACAUUUUGUAUGUGUGUAGAUAAGUGGACAGAAUGCAGUCUCCGCUAACGCSAGAAUGUUGCUUUUCAAUCACGCUGAACUUCUGUGACACGGAUUGAAUAGAGCCCCAAAAGAUUUUGAGAAUUUCUGACCAUAAUUGCAGCCAUGAGUGCCAUACUGAAAGCCAGUGAGGAGGAGGUGGAGGAGCUGAAGAGAGAGAAUGCAGUUUGAAGUAAUUUGGCCAACAACUGUUUCUCAUGUGUUGAUUAAAAUUGUAAUUGUAAUUUUUUUGUAGGCAGUUUAUUUUAUGCCUAUUUCUCAUGUGUUUCCUUUCAUAUGAUUUUAGCCCUGGAGACCAUCGUGACAUCCAGUGAGUGACAACACAGCUUUGGAAGCCGUAAAUGAUGUAAUGAUUUCUGAUGUGAACAGUUCUGAUGAAUCAAUAAAGAGCAUMAUUUAAAAAAAAGCCA
Salvelinus sp. IW2-2015 is the source of this 1056-nucleotide non-coding RNA. Lineage: Eukaryota; Metazoa; Chordata; Actinopteri; Salmoniformes; Salmonidae. The record is from RefSeq and is a predicted model, not a curated record.